GACGAACGCUGGCGGCGUGCUUAACACAUGCAAGUCGAACGGGAAGACAUGAAGAGCUUGCUCUUUAUGAAAUCCAGUGGCAAACGGGUGAGUAACACGUAAACAACCUGCCUUCAGGAUGGGGACGACAGACGGAAACGACUGCUAAUACCGAAUAUGAUUCUUGAGUCGCAUGACACAAGAAAGAAAGGGUGGCCUCUACAGGUAAGCUAUCGCCUGAAGAGGGGUUUGCGUCCGAUUAGGUAGUUGGUGAGGUAACGGCCCACCAAGCCGACGAUCGGUAGCCGGUCUGAGAGGAUGAACGGCCACAUUGGAACUGAGACACGGUCCAGACUCCUACGGGAGGCAGCAGUGGGGAAUCUUCCGCAAUGGGCGAAAGCCUGACGGAGCAACGCCGCGUGAGUGAAGACGGCCUUCGGGUUGUAAAACUCUGUGAUUCGGGACGAAAGAUAAGCAGACGAAUAAUCUGCAUAAGUGACGGUACCGAAAAAGCAAGCCACGGCUAACUACGUGCCAGCAGCCGCGGUAA
RNAcentral lists this ribosomal RNA (529 nucleotides) under uncultured Veillonellaceae bacterium. RNAcentral's name for it is "bacterial SSU rRNA". It matches the Rfam family "Bacterial small subunit ribosomal RNA", at positions 28 to 523 of the family's 1533-position model. Lineage: Bacteria; Bacillati; Bacillota; Negativicutes; Veillonellales; Veillonellaceae. The record is from RNAcentral.